GUCUGGAUGGCUUAGUGGUCAGAGCGUCUGCCUAUUAAGCUGGAGACCCGAGUUCGAAUUCCGGUCUGGCACU
Molecule: non-coding RNA, 73 nt
Organism: Schistocerca piceifrons (Central American locust)
Lineage: Eukaryota; Metazoa; Arthropoda; Insecta; Orthoptera; Acrididae
Source: the annotation of a RefSeq genome assembly